AGUGAACGCUGGCGGUAGGCCUAACACAUGCAAGUCGAACGGCAGCACAGUAAGAUCUUGCUCUUACGGGUGGCGAGUGGCGGACGGGUGAGGAAUACAUCGGAAUCUACUUUUUCGUGGGGGAUAACGUAGGGAAACUUACGCUAAUACCGCAUACGACCUACGGGUGAAAGCAGUGGAUCUUCGGACCUUGCGCGACUGAAUGAGCCGAUGUCGGAUUAGCUAGUUGGCGGGGUAAGGGCCCACCAAGGCGACGAUGCGUAGCUGAUCUGAGAGGAUGAUCGGCCACACUGGAACUGAGACACGGUCCAGACUCCUACGGGAGGCAGCAGUGGGGAAUAUUGGACAAUGGGCGAAAGCCUGAUCCAGCAAUACCGCGUGAGUGAAGAAGGCCUUCGGGUUGUAAAGCCCUGUUGUUGGGAAAGAAAAGAAGCAGGUUAAUACAUCGCUGUUCUGACGGUACCCAAAGAAUAAGCAACGGCUAACUUCGUG
Molecule: ribosomal RNA, 492 nt
Filed under: uncultured bacterium
Lineage: Bacteria
Description: partial 16S ribosomal RNA
Rfam family: Bacterial small subunit ribosomal RNA
Source: RNAcentral